UCCAUCAACAAAUAGCUUCAAUGCUGUAUUUGUUAACUGCCAUAAGUAUUUGUUUUUGACUUUUUUGCAGGUGUCAUGAGUAGUGAAAUUUCAGCCAUCUCAGCUUCAUCAAACACCAUAAAAGGCCUGAUAUCAUUGACCCCGCUCUGCUGAGGCCAGAGCGUCUUGACCAGCUGAUCUACAUUCCACUUCCUGUUGAGCAGUCUAGGCUCCAGAUCUUCAAGGCCUGCCUUAGGAAGUCCCCUGUGGCGAAGGAUGUGGACUUGAAUGCUCUUGCUAAGUACACGCAAGGGUUCAAUGGAG
Long non-coding RNA from Zea mays, 303 nucleotides. RefSeq lists it as uncharacterized. NCBI's taxonomy places the organism in Eukaryota, Viridiplantae, Streptophyta, Magnoliopsida, Poales, Poaceae. The record is from RefSeq and is a predicted model, not a curated record. The transcript is spliced from 2 exons.